This 57-nucleotide non-coding RNA is filed under the name Streptomyces sp. ADI95-17. Lineage: Bacteria; Bacillati; Actinomycetota; Actinomycetes; Kitasatosporales; Streptomycetaceae. The record is from RNAcentral.
AAGCGGCCGGUCCUCCGGACGCUCCUGCCCGUACGUCGCGAUCAGCGCCUGCGCCUC